This 695-nucleotide ribosomal RNA is filed under the name uncultured Glomeromycotina. RNAcentral's name for it is "SSU rRNA". It matches the Rfam family "Eukaryotic small subunit ribosomal RNA", at positions 367 to 1066 of the family's 1831-position model. Lineage: Eukaryota; Fungi; Glomeromycota. The record is from RNAcentral.
GUGUUAGGGCACGACACCGGAGAGGGAGCCUGAGAAACGGCUACCACAUCCAAGGAUGGCAGCAGGCGCGCAAAUUACCCAAUCCCGACACGGGGAGGUAGUGACAAUAAAUAACAAUACGGGGUUCUUUAGGAUUUCGUAAUUGGAAUGAGUACAAUUUAAAUCUCUUAACGAGGAACAAUUGGAGGGCAAGUCUGGUGCCAGCAGCCGCGGUAAUUCCAGCUCCAAUAGCGUAUAUUAAAGUUGUUGCAGUUAAAAAGCUCGUAGUUGAAUUUCGGGGUCAGUAGGUUGGUCAUGCCACUGGUAUGUACUGGCCUCACUGAUUCCUCCUUCCUGAUGAGCCGUAAUGCCAUUAAUUUGGUGUUGCGAGGAAUCUGGACUGUUACUUUGAAAAAAUUAGAGUGUUUAAAGCAGGCUAACGCUUGAAUACAUUAGCAUGGAAUAAUGAAAUAGGACGUUCGAUCUUAUUUUGUUGGUUUCUAAGAUUGACGUAAUGAUUAAUAGGGAUAGUUGAGGGCAUUAGUAUUCAAUUGUCAGAGGUGAAAUUCUUGGAUUUAUUGAAGACUAACUACUGCGAAAGCAUUUGCCAAGGAUGUUUUCAUUAAUCAAGAACGAAAGUUAGGGGAUCGAAGACGAUCAGAUACCGUCGUAGUCUUAACCAUAAACUAUGCCGACUAGGGAUCGGAUGAUGUUAA